RNAcentral lists this ribosomal RNA (519 nucleotides) under uncultured eukaryote. Its description in RNAcentral is "SSU rRNA". It matches the Rfam family "Eukaryotic small subunit ribosomal RNA", at positions 1161 to 1703 of the family's 1831-position model. The record is from RNAcentral.
AGGGCACCACCAGGAGUGGAGCCUGCGGCUUAAUUUGACUCAACACGGGAAAACUCACCCGGCCCGGACACCGUAAGGAUUGACAGACUGAGAGCUCUUUCUUAAUUCGGUGGGUGGUGGUGCAUGGCCGUUCUUAGUUGGUGGAGCGAUUUGUCUGGUUAAUUCCGAUAACGAACGAGACUCUGGCCUAUUAAAUAGACGAUAUAUCUAUCUAGUAUAUCGCGCUUCUUAGAGGGACAAGCGGCGUCCAGCCGCAUGAAAUAGAGCAAUAACAGGUCUGUGAUGCCCUUAGAUGUCCGGGGCUGCACGCGCGCUACACCGAAAGAAUCAGCGUGCGUUUUACCUAGUUCGGAAGAACCGGGUAACCCAAGUAAAUUCUUUCGUGCUUGGGAUAGGGAAUUGCAGUUAUUUCCCUUGAACGAGGAAUUCCCAGUAAAUGCGGGUCAUAAGCUCGCGUUGAUUACGUCCCUGCCCUUUGUACACACCGCCCGUCGCUACUACCGAUUGGAUGACUUAGUG